Long non-coding RNA from Labeo rohita (rohu), 1115 nucleotides. RefSeq lists it as uncharacterized. The record is from RefSeq and is a predicted model, not a curated record. NCBI's taxonomy places the organism in Eukaryota, Metazoa, Chordata, Actinopteri, Cypriniformes, Cyprinidae. The transcript has 4 exons.
AUUGGCCAUGCAAUGAGUUCUGCCUAGCAACAAGAGAACUAAUGCGCUGAUUAGUCCUUUUGCCCUCGUCUGUUCUGUUGCUGACACCAAGUUUGAAGACGGACGUUUUUCUUCUAUGUUCGGUUUGCAUGGAGUUCAACAGAAUUACGGGCAAAAAUCUAAAGCAGGAAUUCUACGAAAACCUUGACAGACACAGUUCACGGUUCAUGGACCUUUUUAAAACCAAAAGGGGGGCUCCUGGUCAGCGCUUGUGGAACUUUUACAGCAAAUAAAGUCAGCCCAGCCAACAGAGGUCCGAACCCUUGUUCUUCGAGGACUGCCUAUCAUGCUCGGAGAUGAUGACUCGUCUUUCUUCAAGACAUGUUUAGUGUCUGAUCAUCGCCUCACUAUCCUUGAUGUGCCAGUGGGGAUUUUAUUGGAGGACACCGAUCUUCAGCCCUCCAGCUCUUUGCAUUUGACUUCUUCAAUCGGAAUAAUUCUUGAAGGCCAAGUUCUGAUGGACAAAGUGCAGGACCUCCCACAGGCAAUUUGUCUUCUCUUCAGUCUGAUUUACGCACUAGACCUAAAUUACCCAAAAUCACUCGCCAACACGUUUGAUUUCAUCCAGCGUGUACUAAUGUCAAUGGGACAGAAUACUCUCAAGCCUAGAGUGCAGUCUCUGGCAAACCAACAUUUUGCUUAAGAAACGUCACUGUGAUAUUUUAACACCAUUCUUUGUUUUGGGUUUUUUUUCCCCACCUUGAUUUCUUGAUCUCCAUUAUUCAUUUUAUGAAGAAUAAAAAGCAUGUUUAAAUUGUAAAAUGCAGAGUUCUACAACUGAUGUUCAGUAGUUCAUUUGGGAUAUUGUUACACCUCUGUAGUGUGGUUGUGACACAGUAAUAUUUCCACUACAGUAUAGUUUGUACUGUAAUACUGUGAAAUUUUGGUGAAAGACACUAUAUGUUGACUGUUUUAUUUUAGUUUGCUAUGUUUGCACAAAGCUUAAAUGGUCAAAUGUAAUAGUUAUGUUUACAUUAACAUAAUACUUGAUACUUGAGUGAAGUAUAUAUGUGCAUAGAGUUGUACAAUUGAUGUACUGCACUAGUUAUUUUUUUUUUUUUUUUUACCACCUUUAA